RNAcentral lists this long non-coding RNA (1434 nucleotides) under Salmo trutta (river trout). RNAcentral describes it as "lncRNA (ENSSTUG00000006460.1)". The record is from RNAcentral. Lineage: Eukaryota; Metazoa; Chordata; Actinopteri; Salmoniformes; Salmonidae.
CUUGGCUCUGUGUGGAUAGAGGAAGCUUAUUGUUCAUUCCGGGUGGAAAUGGUGUAACACAAGUUGAAUGUUUUUGCCCAUUUGUUUUCUCCCACUUUCUUAUUUCUCUCGCUUUCUCUCUUUCUCUGGAAGAUGAGUCUCACCUGUUUCUGCGAUCCCGUCUCACCAUGGAGGAUCUGGAAAGUGAGAAGUAUACAGUUCACGACCCCUGUGUGACCUGGUUGGAUGGUAAGAGCCUUGAUACCCUGAAGCGGGGGAACGAGAUAGAACAUGUAUAGGGAAGCCAAGGCAAGCUCCCAUUCAUGUUAUAUUGAGUGAACCAACCAAAAGGUAACCAUUUCCCUUCGGCCUGUGUUGUCCCUUCCAGAGAAUGAGGUUGCUCUCAGAACCAGAGAGGGUCAUGUCCUGUCCUACAGCCUCCACUCCAACAUCACAGCUACCCUGCUGGACAACAGCUCUUUAGAUUUGACUUACACAAAGUUCCAUGUGUCUGCAGACAAGAGGUUUGUCCUGUUUGCAUACAACAUUCAACCGGUGAGUGACUCUGGUUAUGACCAAAUAAAAUACUCAGAAGAACCAUCUCUUUUACGGUGUCAAUCUUCAUCAAUAAUCAUACUCACUGUCAAAGCAAUUCUCCAAAGACAACAAAGAUGAUUUGAUCGCAACAAGGGUUUCCCACUCGCUUUCAUUGAACACAUUAGCUUUACACAGCAACGCCACAAACUGAUUCCAGACCAUCAGAGAAAAUCAAUUGAGUCAAAUCUGUUUCCGUUUGCGACUAAUGACAGGUCUAUUUCCCAACUGCAUUGUUACUGUCGUACAAUGAUGCCAUGCAUUCUAAUCCAGCCUUUACACUAAAUCCCCUUAUGAAACAGUUAGAGAGAGAAAGAUUGAGGGAGGGAGAGGGAGAGAGAAAGAGAAAGGGAAACUAGUGAUGCCGCUACAGUACUGCAGCAGUCUGUUGCUCUACAUGCUAUUCAAACAACAGCCACUAGUGAAAUCACUGGCAGUCUUCAGACUGGGUAAUGAUGGGGGAAGGGGUGUAGAAGGAUGGAGGGUAUGAAUGGCGGAGAGAGAGUUUGAUGUAGAUUACAGGGCAGGGGGAGGGAGAGAGAGUGUGGUAAAGUUGGAGCUGCAUGCGGUAAUGAAAUCGCCCGGCGGGGAAUGUAAAGGAGAAGCUUAUAUGAGAGUCUAAUGUCUAAUGCACACUUGCAGGUGGUUUGAGAAAAACCCCAGCAUAACAAGCAACUCUAACAACACAUGCAUGCUCUGUCUCCCCCCCGACCCACUCCUUCUGUAAAUAACCGCUCGCUUAAUACAUAGUUUCCUGUUUCUCCAAAGGAGUGAGCAAAAGGUGUAAUAUACAGGUAAUGGGAGCGGAGGAAAAAAAUGAUUAGGAAAAAAAUAAGCCCUCAGCACAAUUUUGGCCUUAUU